This 1171-nucleotide long non-coding RNA is filed under the name Olea europaea subsp. europaea. The record is from RNAcentral. Lineage: Eukaryota; Viridiplantae; Streptophyta; Magnoliopsida; Lamiales; Oleaceae.
AUUUUUUUGGUAAUUAAAAAGUACUCUUUCAUUUCUCAGUACAAAUUCACAAUAAAAGAUGUGGUAUAAAAGUCAAAAUUUCUCACCCCAAAUUGUCUCCCGUUUUAGACAAAUUAUUUGAUACUUCAAUGCUAAGUUAAAUUUUAGUUGUCUCGUAGAAUUUCAAAUCCUCCUUUUCAUCUACCUUUGCUGAAGUUUCUUCUUAUUUCUUAUUUCUUCUUUCUACUUUCUCUCUAGCGGGAUUGCUGUCUGUCCUAUCAUAGCCAUUGGUGGCUUGUAUCUGGUUCAUGGAUAUUGAUCUCUUGUGGUUUCAAGGGGGGUGGUUUCUAUUUCAGAUUUGCAUGGCAAAAACUUCAUCAUUUUCUUCAGAAAUCUCCGCAAAAUUUACGAACCCUUUUCUUCUUUUUCUUGGGCUUGUUUUUAUCCUUCUUGUUCUUGUUAAUUCCUCUGAUCCUUCAAAAUCCUCCAUGGAUUCAUCACUUCCCUCUGAAAGACUUCUCUUGGACUCAGAUUCCGCGGCAAAAUCGACCAAUUUUCACCCAAGAAAGAGGGAAAAGCACUCACAUGGAUCUUCUCAUUCCAAGAGAGAAUUUGGGGCUGGUAAGCAUGAAGUUCCCAGUGGACCAAACCCUAUUUCCAACAAGUAGUAAGUCCGCUUAUUUUAAAGCAUGAAUUUUCACAGGGAAGAAGAAGAAAGGUUUGCUAGAGCUGCAGUAAUGGCAUUUAUUUUUGUAUUUUGUUCUUUUUGUCUCUCUCUAUCUCUCUCUAGUCAUUAAUUUUAUGAGUCGCCAUUAAUACACUACUUGUCCUCAGUGAGAAGUUUGUUAUCUUAUGUUGUCAUCUUCAUCAGUGUAUAUCCAGAGACAAAUCUUUAUUUAUAUAUUAUAUAUAUAUAUUUGUAUGUACACAGUGGUUUAUAGAGAGAAAGUGAGAGCUAUUGGUUUGCUAAUUAUGUGAUUGAUUUUGCUCAUAUUCUUAAUUUACUGUGUAAUUUGUUUAAAUUCAUCUUAUGCUUAAAACUUUUGCUUCUCUGUGCAAAUUUUCAAGAAAAUAGAAAGAUCCAUUGUCAAUAGGUUUGCAACUCUGCACUAGGGUUUUACCCCCACGCACCGCACCCCAAGGGGGUGGCGAGAAAUGGUGUCAGAAGUUGUGGGAGGACCUUUUGUUUUCU